UUUUUAAGGAUAAGCUAAAAUCUGUUCAGUUUAAGAUUAUAGAAUGACAGGCCUUAAGUGUUUAAUAUUAGACAGUUAUGUAUAAUUAAACAUCUUAGCAUCUAUGUGUAACAUUAACAACAGAUCAAGACUCAGGACUCUUCUCCUACCUGCAGCGAAGGAUGGCUGAUAAGUAGCAGAUGACGUUGGACUCGAACAUUCAUUUGUUGCAUCGGUGACUAAGGGUCUUUCAAGGUGGGAGUGAUUUCCUGGAGCAUUUCAACGUGUUCUUGACUUCGAACCUGACCCAUAGCCUGGACUAAUGUAAAUAGAACUGUUUGAAUGUUGUCUUGCCAUGAUUUAUAUUCACCCAAAAACUGCCUAACACUGUUCUCAUAGGGA
This 381-nucleotide long non-coding RNA is filed under the name Homo sapiens (human). RNAcentral's name for it is "HSALNT0228415". Lineage: Eukaryota; Metazoa; Chordata; Mammalia; Primates; Hominidae. The record is from RNAcentral.